CCAGGUGUUCCAUGCGGAUAAGUUAUUUCGGGGGAAUACCUGGCGUCCAUGAGUCCCAUAGUAGGUCUCUAGUUGGUUGCGAUAGUCCCUUGACAUACCAGUCUCCCCUGGAAGACACCAAUCUACCAACUCCAGAUGCUCCUGCAUUCUCAAUGGAUGAUGUUCUCCUUUUGGAUCCGCCCGAAGGCAAGUUAAAACGGAAGGAGCAGAGGAUGAUCCUGAUUAAGGACAACCCUUCUGGGUGUCACGCUUGCCUCCUUUACCGCAGUAAUGAGUACUAUCGAAGUCUUCGCUAUUCUGAUCCCAAUUUCAUAGGUGUGUCCGUAUCUCAGGCAGUGAGCUUUUCAGCCACUGUCUGGCCUGGUAGUGAAGCAGUCCUGGGAAAUAGUCAAAGGGUUAUGGUGCCUUUCCGCCGUACCUGUCGAAUUUCCUUACGAAUCGUCGCUAUCAAUGAUGUGGGAAGGUGUAAUCCGCCCAAGGUGGAAUCUAUUCUGAAAUAGAGGAACUGAAUCACUCGGAACUGGGAUCGAACCAACUCCUCUCUGUUCACUAUGAAUCCCAACAAUUCCCGAAACUGUAAACAUAAAUCUCGUUUGUAAACGUAGUCAUGAAUUGGAUUUGCAAAAGUCGUCUAGGUAUGUGACAGCAGAUACCCUUUGCUUUUCAGUGCGCAGUGACCGACUUCAGAAACUUCAUGAGGCACCAUGUGAACCUAUAGGUAAGUGCCCUUCAAGUCCAACCUUGUAGAUCCCCUAAGAGAUGGAUACCUUCCUUCUUGAGUUGUCGGUACGCCCCAAAACCAUUGGGUUGGCAUAGGUUGAUGACUGGGUGAUAGUCUCCUAUCUUCUUCCUUACUACCAAACCGUUGCUGAGAUAAAUGGUUCUCCAAAUGAUAGUCCGUCUGCCUGAGGUCCUCGCUCUUUCGUCC
Pelobates cultripes (western spadefoot toad) is the source of this 928-nucleotide non-coding RNA. The record is from the annotation of a GenBank genome assembly. NCBI's taxonomy places the organism in Eukaryota, Metazoa, Chordata, Amphibia, Anura, Pelobatidae.